GGGGGGGGGGGGGGGGGGGGGGGGGGGGGGGGGGGGGGGGGGGGGGGGGGGGGGGGGGGGGGGGGGGGGGGGGGGGGGGGGGGGGGGGGGGGGGGGGGGGGGGGGGGGGGGGGGGGGGGGGGGGGGGGGGGGGGGUUGGCGGGGCACUGGCUGCUCUGCGCCCUGCCCGGGCAUGGCUCAGCCCUCGGGAUCCCGGCGGAGCCGGCGGACAGGAUGCUUUAAAUUAUUCCUUCCUCUUGCUGAUGACCAGGUUCCUGUUUGAUCCUGUUUACAAGCUUUCGAAGAUUGAAAAUAACCCCUACUCCUCUGCAUUGGGCAGUGACAGUGUCAGAGCAGCAGCCCAACAGGGGAGUCAGAGGAGCUGA
This 365-nucleotide long non-coding RNA is filed under the name Ficedula albicollis (Collared flycatcher). RNAcentral describes it as "lncRNA (ENSFALG00000023202.1)". The record is from RNAcentral. Lineage: Eukaryota; Metazoa; Chordata; Aves; Passeriformes; Muscicapidae.